AGAGUGGCUGGUUUACCAGAGGGCCUCUGGCCCACACUUGGCAAGACAGAUCAUCCCACGGAGUUGGGGAACUGGGACUCCUGUGACCCAUGUAGAUACGGUGCUUCCCUCUGACUCGAAGGGUUUGGCCCCCGACCCCGGAACGGCCUGAAGCUUGGACUGUCGGCCCUGCCCUUCUUCUGGGCUGGGAGAAAGGGCAGGCAAGAGGCCUUGGGGGUUGGGGCGGGAGACCGAAGGUGGGGAUGUGCCGCUGUGUACAGCCGACUUGCCUGCCCAUCACCCAAACACCAAGUUCCGCUCGCAGAGGAAGUGAGAGGUGUCCGAUUCGGUCUCCCAGAACGCAGCUGGGCUGCCUGAAACGAGCGCCGCGGCGACUCUGAAGGAGGUGUCAUCCCUGGGCCAGUACAGGAUUGAGUCACAGAAGCCGCCACUCCUGCGUCAAAAAUACUGGGCCAUUGUCCCAGGGAGUUUGGCCCCUCAGUCGUCAUUUCCGACCCGCUCCCUGGAAUCCCAAUGAAGGAAAAAGGGGAGGAAAAGAAGCGGAAACCAGAAUGGCUAAGCAAGCCGAGGAAGACGAGCCCCGGCCAGCUGGAGCAGCACCUGAGUGUGCGACCCCACCCCCCACUGGGGCAUCUUCUCCUUGGUUACAUUCCAGACCCGGAAGCGAAUCCCGGCUGUAUGGUGUCCAAAGACCUACAAUCUGGGGGCAUUCCUUAAUAAAAAGAAUCCAAGAUUCUGAAAACAAACUUAAGUACAAAAGAUUGGAGGCUGGAGAUCCGAGACCAGGGUGCCAGCAUGGUCGGGUUCUGGUGAGAGCCCUCUUCUGGUUGCAGACUGUAGACUUCUCAUUGCAUCCUCUCAUGUGGUAGAAGUAAAUAGGACCUCACAAUGCACCUCUUACCCAGAGAGGCACGAUGAUUGUCUAAGAACACAGGCAAGCUGGCGGAGGCUGUCGGAUGGCGACCUGUGCUCUGGGGCUUUCCUGGGCUUCACUACAGGGGGGAAGAGCGACAUCCAGUGACCCUGAGCUCAGGGACCAAGAAAGAACACAAUCAAAAUAUCGUCCCUCUUGCUGCUCUUCCCCGAAAAGAAAGAAGAAAGGAGCAUGAGUUCGGGCUUGUUUUGCAGUUUGAAUCUCAGGAAUGCAUAAGAAACAGCAGUGUUGCCUUCUGAGCAAAGAUGCUGUAUUGAAACUUGACUCAUCCUUGGCGGUUUAUUGUGUUCCCCGCCCCUCCUUCCUUGUGACACAGAGGAGGGAGCUGCCUUGCCGAUGACAAGUGGUACCACAGAGGCCUCAGCUGCAACUGUUAGUUUCUGAAAGGAGGAACAUGAAGAAGGCCUGGCUCCCUCUCUGCCAAGGUCAGUGAGAGCUUUGGGCUGAUUUCAGCAGCAUGAGUACCCGACUUCAAAUGAAGGAAACCACAUGUGGAGC
RNAcentral lists this long non-coding RNA (1432 nucleotides) under Equus caballus (horse). Its description in RNAcentral is "lncRNA (ENSECAG00000048112.1)". The record is from RNAcentral. Lineage: Eukaryota; Metazoa; Chordata; Mammalia; Perissodactyla; Equidae.